GAUGAACGCUGGCGGCGUGCCUAAUACAUGCGAGUCGAGCGAACGGACGAGAAGCUUGCUUCUCUGAUGUUAGCGGCGGACGGGUGAGUAACACGUGGAUAACCUACCUAUAAGACUGGGAUAACUUCGGGAAACCGGAACUAAUACCGGAUAAUAUUUUGAACCGCAUGGUUCAAAAGUGAAAGACGGUCUUGCUGUCACUUAUAGAUGGAUCCGCGCUGCAUUAGCUAGUUGGUAAGGUAACGGCUUACCAAGGCAACGAUGCAUAGCCGACCUGAGAGGGUGAUCGGCCACACUGGAACUGAGACACGGUCCAGACUCCUACGGGAGGCAGCAGUAGGGAAUCUUCCGCAAUGGGCGAAAGCCUGACGGAGCAACGCCGCGUGAGUGAUGAAGGUCUUCGGAUCGUAAAACUCUGUUAUUAGGGAAGAACAUAUGUGUAAGUAACUGUGCACAUCUUGACGGUACCUAAUCAGAAAGCCACGGCUAACUACGUG
Molecule: ribosomal RNA, 497 nt
Filed under: uncultured bacterium
Lineage: Bacteria
Description: partial 16S ribosomal RNA
Rfam family: Bacterial small subunit ribosomal RNA
Source: RNAcentral